GAGUUUGAUCAUGGCUCAGGAUGAACGCUAGCUACAGGCUUAACACACGCAAGUCGAGGGGCAGCAUUUUAGUUUGCUUGCAAACUAAAGAUGGCGACCGGCGCACGGGUGAGUAACACGUAUCCAACCUGCCGAUAACUCGGGGAUAGCCUUUCGAAAGAAAGAUUAAUAUCCGAUAGUAUAUUAAAACCGCAUGGUUUUACUAUUAAAGAAUUUCGGUUAUCGAUGGGGAUGCGUUCCAUUAGUUUGUUGGCGGGGUAACGCCCACCUAGUCUUCGAUGGAUAGGGGUUCUGAGAGGAACGGUCCCCCAAUUGGAACUGAGACACGGUCCAAACUCCUACGGG
This 345-nucleotide ribosomal RNA is filed under the name uncultured bacterium. Its description in RNAcentral is "bacterial SSU rRNA". It matches the Rfam family "Bacterial small subunit ribosomal RNA", at positions 9 to 345 of the family's 1533-position model. The record is from RNAcentral.